UGCUAAUCCUGUACGGGUGAGAACCCGUUAGGCGCAACGGGACGGAAAGACCCCGUGAAGCUUUACUGGAGCUUAAUAUUGAUCAAAACACCCCCCUGUAGAGAAUAGGUAGGGACCAUUGAUGCCAGUUCCCCAGGGUUUGUUGAUGUGAAAA
RNAcentral lists this ribosomal RNA (154 nucleotides) under uncultured Mycoplasma sp. RNAcentral describes it as "partial 23S ribosomal RNA". It matches the Rfam family "Bacterial large subunit ribosomal RNA", at positions 2047 to 2192 of the family's 2925-position model. Lineage: Bacteria; Bacillati; Mycoplasmatota; Mollicutes; Mycoplasmatales; Mycoplasmataceae. The record is from RNAcentral.